UAGGGAAUCUUCCACAAUGGACGAAAGUCUGAUGGAGCAACGCCGCGUGAGUGAAGAAGGGUCUCGGCUCGUAAAACUCUGUUGUUAAAGAAGAACAUAUCUGAGAGUAACUGUUCAGGUAUUGACGGUAUUUAACCAGAAAGCCACGGCUAACUACGUGCCAC
RNAcentral lists this ribosomal RNA (164 nucleotides) under uncultured bacterium. RNAcentral describes it as "partial 16S rRNA". It matches the Rfam family "Bacterial small subunit ribosomal RNA", at positions 355 to 511 of the family's 1533-position model. The record is from RNAcentral.